UACGGAGGAUGCAAGCGUUAUCCGGAAUGAUUGGGCUUAAAGCGUCCGCAGGUGGCUGUGUAAGUCUGCUGUCAAAGAGCAAAGCUCAACUUUGUAAAGGCAGUGGAAACUACACGGCUAGAGUGCGUUCGGGGCAGAGGGAAUUCCAGGUGUAGCGGUGAAAUGCGUAGAUAUCUGGAGGAAUACCGGUGGCGAAGGCGGCAUCCUGGACCGGCAUUGACGCUGAACAGCGAAAGCUAGGGGAGCAAACGGG
Molecule: ribosomal RNA, 253 nt
Filed under: uncultured bacterium
Lineage: Bacteria
Description: partial 16S ribosomal RNA
Rfam family: Bacterial small subunit ribosomal RNA
Source: RNAcentral